GACGAACGCUGGCGGCGUGCUUAACACAUGCAAGUCGAGCGGUAAGGCCCUUUCGGGGGUACACGAGCGGCGAACGGGUGAGUAACACGUGGGUGACCUGCCCUCAGCUCUGGGAUAAGCCUGGGAAACCGGGUCUAAUACUGGAUAUGACUCCAUGACGCAUGUUGUGGGGUGGAAAGCCUUGUGCGGCUGAGGAUGGGCCCGCGGCCUAUCAGCUUGUUGGUGGGGUGAGG
Molecule: ribosomal RNA, 233 nt
Filed under: uncultured bacterium
Lineage: Bacteria
Description: partial 16S ribosomal RNA
Rfam family: Bacterial small subunit ribosomal RNA
Source: RNAcentral